ACGAGAGAGAAGGAGCUUGCUUCUUCGAUCGAGUGGCGAACGGGUGGGUAACGCGUGAGGAACCUGCCUCAAAGAGGGGGACAACAGUUGGAAACGACUGCUAAUACCGCAUAAGCCCACAGGUCGGCAUCGACCAGAGGGAAAAGGAGCAAUCCGCUUUGAGAUGGCCUCGCGUCCGAUUAGCUAGUUGGUGAGGUAAUGGCCCACCAAGGCGACGAUCGGUAGCCGGACUGAGAGGUUGAACGGCCACAUUGGGACUGAGACACGGCCCAGACUCCUACGGGAGGCAGCAGUGGGGAAUAUUGCACAAUGGGGGAAACCCUGAUGCAGCGACGCCGCGUGGAGGAAGAAGGUCUUCGAAUUGUAAACUCCUGUUGUUGAGGAAGAUAAUGACGGUACUCAACAAGGAAGUGACGGCUAACUACGUGCCAGCAGCCGCGGUAAAACGUAGGUCACAAGCGUUGUCCGGAAUUACUGGGUGUAAAGGGAGCGCAGGCGGGAAGACAAGUUGGAAGUGAAAUCCAUGGGCUCAACCCAUGAACUGCUUUCAAAACUGUUUUUCUUGAGUAGUGCAGAGGUAGGCGGAAUUCCCGGUGUAGCGGUGGAAUGCGUAGAUAUCGGGAGGAACACCAGUGGCGAAGGCGGCCUACUGGGCACCAACUGACGCUGAGGCUCGAAAGUGUGGGUAGCAA
This 692-nucleotide ribosomal RNA is filed under the name uncultured bacterium. RNAcentral describes it as "bacterial SSU rRNA". It matches the Rfam family "Bacterial small subunit ribosomal RNA", at positions 66 to 771 of the family's 1533-position model. The record is from RNAcentral.